GACGAACGCUGGCGGCGUGCUUAACACAUGCAAGUCGAACGGAAAGGCCCUGCUUGCAGGGUGCUCGAGUGGCGAACGGGUGAGUAACACGUGGGUGAUCUGCCCCUUACUUUGGGAUAAGCCUGGGAAACUGGGUCUAAUACUGGAUAGGACCAUGCUGUAGGUGGUGUGGUGGAAAGAUUAGUUUCGGUAAGGGGUGAGCUCGCGGCCUAUCAGCUUGUUGGUGGGGUAAUGGCCUACCAAGGCGUCGACGGGUAGCCGGCCGGAGAGGGUGGACGGCCACAUUGGGACUGAGAUACGGCGCAGACUCCUACGGGAGGCAGCAGUGGGGAAUAUUGCACAAUGGGCGCAAGCCUGAUGCAGCGACGCCGCGUGGGGGAUGACGGCCUUCGGGUUGUAAACUCCUUUCAGCCAUGACGAAGCCCUUGUGGUGACGGUAGUGGUAGAAGAAGCACCGGCUAACUACGUG
This 469-nucleotide ribosomal RNA is filed under the name uncultured bacterium. Its description in RNAcentral is "partial 16S ribosomal RNA". It matches the Rfam family "Bacterial small subunit ribosomal RNA", at positions 28 to 507 of the family's 1533-position model. The record is from RNAcentral.